Molecule: ribosomal RNA, 253 nt
Filed under: uncultured bacterium
Lineage: Bacteria
Description: partial 16S ribosomal RNA
Rfam family: Bacterial small subunit ribosomal RNA
Source: RNAcentral
CACGAAGGGGGCUAGCGUUGUUCGGAAUUACUGGGCGUAAAGCGCACGUAGGCGGUGUUCCAUGUCAGAGGUGAAAGCCUGGGGCUCAACUCCAGAAUUGCCUUUGAAACGGGGACGCUUGAGUCCGAGAGAGGAUGGCGGAAUUCCUAGUGUAGAGGUGAAAUUCGUAGAUAUUAGGAAGAACACCGGUGGCGAAGGCGGCCAUCUGGCUCGGUACUGACGCUCAGGUUCGAAAGCGUGGGGAGCAAACAGG